GACGAACGCUGGCGGCGUGCUUAACACAUGCAAGUCGAACGGAAAGGCCCUGCUUUUGUGGGGUGCUCGAGUGGCGAAGGGGUGAGUAACACGUGAGUAACCUGCCCUUGACUUUGGGAUAACUUCAGGAAACUGGGGCUAAUACCGGAUAGGAGCUCCUGCUGCAUGGUGGGGGUUGGAAAGUUUCGGCGGUUGGGGAUGGACUCGCGGCUUAUCAGCUUGUUGGUGGGGUAGUGGCUUACCAAGGCUUUGACGGGUAGCCGGCCUGAGAGGGUGACCGGCCACAUUGGGACUGAGAUACGGCCCAGACUCCUACGGGAGGCAGCAGUGGGGAAUAGUGCACAAUGGGCGGAAGCCUGAUGCAGCAACGCCGCGUGCGGGAUGACGGCCUUCGGGUUGUAAACCGCUUUCGCCUGUGACGAAGCGUGAGUGACGGUAAUGGGUAAAGAAGCACCGGCUAACUACGUG
This 468-nucleotide ribosomal RNA is filed under the name uncultured bacterium. RNAcentral describes it as "partial 16S ribosomal RNA". It matches the Rfam family "Bacterial small subunit ribosomal RNA", at positions 28 to 507 of the family's 1533-position model. The record is from RNAcentral.